GUGCUUGCUUCAGCAGCAUGUACACUAAAGUUGGAACAAUACAGAGAAGACUAGCAUGGCCCCUGUGCAAGGAUGACAUGCAAGUUCACGAGGUGUUCCAUAUUUUU
This is a small nuclear RNA of Jaculus jaculus (lesser Egyptian jerboa), 107 nucleotides long. The record is from RefSeq and is a predicted model, not a curated record. NCBI's taxonomy places the organism in Eukaryota, Metazoa, Chordata, Mammalia, Rodentia, Dipodidae.